Molecule: non-coding RNA, 124 nt
Organism: Triticum aestivum (bread wheat)
Lineage: Eukaryota; Viridiplantae; Streptophyta; Magnoliopsida; Poales; Poaceae
Source: Rfam
AAAGUACUCCCUCCGUCCCAAAAUUCUUGUUUUAGAUUUGUCUAGAUACGGAUGUAUCAAGUCAAAGAUACAUCCGUAUCUAGACAAAUCUAAGACAAGACAUUUGGGACACAGUGAGUAGUUG